RNAcentral lists this ribosomal RNA (422 nucleotides) under Pseudomonas aeruginosa. RNAcentral's name for it is "partial 23S ribosomal RNA". It matches the Rfam family "Bacterial large subunit ribosomal RNA", at positions 2523 to 2925 of the family's 2925-position model. Lineage: Bacteria; Pseudomonadati; Pseudomonadota; Gammaproteobacteria; Pseudomonadales; Pseudomonadaceae. The record is from RNAcentral.
ACCUCGAUGUCGGCUCAUCACAUCCUGGGGCUGAAGCCGGUCCCAAGGGUAUGGCUGUUCGCCAUUUAAAGUGGUACGCGAGCUGGGUUUAGAACGUCGUGAGACAGUUCGGUCCCUAUCUGCCGUGGACGUUUGAGAUUUGAGAGGGGCUGCUCCUAGUACGAGAGGACCGGAGUGGACGAACCUCUGGUGUUCCGGUUGUCACGCCAGUGGCAUUGCCGGGUAGCUAUGUUCGGAAAAGAUAACCGCUGAAAGCAUCUAAGCGGGAAACUUGCCUCAAGAUGAGAUCUCACUGGGARCUUGAUUCCCCUGAAGGGCCGUCGAAGACUACGACGUUGAUAGGCUGGGUGUGUAAGCGUUGUGAGGCGUUGAGCUAACCAGUACUAAUUGCCCGUGAGGCUUGACCAUAUAACACCCAAACA